Molecule: ribosomal RNA, 253 nt
Filed under: uncultured bacterium
Lineage: Bacteria
Description: partial 16S ribosomal RNA
Rfam family: Bacterial small subunit ribosomal RNA
Source: RNAcentral
UACGAAGGGUGCAAACGUUGCUCGGAAUCAUUGGGUGUAAAGCGCACGUAGGCGGCUUCGCAAGUCGGAUGUGAAAUCCCUCGGCUCAACCGAGGACGUGCAUCCGAAACUGCGAAGCUUGAGUACUGAAGAGGAUCGCGGAAUUCCACGUGUAGCGGUGAAAUGCGUAGAUAUGUGGAGGAAUACCGAUGGCGAAGGCAGCCUCCUGGGCCAACACUGACGCUCAUGCACGAAAGCGUGGGGAGCAAACAGG